UUUUCCGAGAGGUGGUGCAUGGCCGUCGUCAGUUCGUACCGUAAGGCGUUCUCUUAAGUGAGAUAACGAACGAGACCCUCGCCGCUAAUUGCUAGUGUUCUCUCUGGAGGGCACGCACAUUAACGGGACCGCUGUCGCUAAGACAGAGGAAGGAGAGGUCAACGGUAGGUCCGUAUGCCCCGAAUCUCCUGGGCUACACGCGCGCUACAAAGGUUGGGACAAUGGGCUCCGACAUCGAAAGGUGAAGGCAAUCUCGAAACCCAAUCGUAGUUCGGAUUGAGGGUUGUAACUCACCCUCAUGAAGCUGGAUUCCGUAGUAAUCGCUUGUCAACAUCAAGCGGUGAAUAUGCCCC
This 353-nucleotide ribosomal RNA is filed under the name uncultured Thermogymnomonas sp. RNAcentral's name for it is "bacterial SSU rRNA". It matches the Rfam family "Archaeal small subunit ribosomal RNA", at positions 976 to 1330 of the family's 1478-position model. The record is from RNAcentral. Lineage: Archaea; Methanobacteriati; Thermoplasmatota; Thermoplasmata; Thermoplasmatales.